GAUGAACGCUGGCGGCGUGCCUAAUACAUGCAAGUCGAGCGAACAGACGAGGAGCUUGCUCCUCUGACGUUAGCGGCGGACGGGUGAGUAACACGUGGAUAACCUACCUAUAAGACUGGGAUAACUUCGGGAAACCGGAGCUAAUACCGGAUAAUAUAUUGAACCGCAUGGUUCAAUAGUGAAAGACGGUUUUGCUGUCACUUAUAGAUGGAUCCGCGCUGCAUUAGCUAGUUGGUAAGGUAACGGCUUACCAAGGCAACGAUGCGUAGCCGACCUGAGAGGGUGAUCGGCCACAAUGGAACUGAGACACGGUCCAGACUCCUACGGGAGGCAGCAGUAGGGAAUCUGCCGCAAUGGGCGAAAGCCUGACGGAGCAACGCCGCGUGAGUGAUGAAGGUCUUCGGAUCGUAAAACUCUGUUAUUAGGGAAGAACAAAUGUGUAAGUAACUAUGCACGUCUUGACGGUACCUAAUCAGAAAGCCACGGCUAACUACGUG
This 497-nucleotide ribosomal RNA is filed under the name uncultured bacterium. RNAcentral describes it as "partial 16S ribosomal RNA". It matches the Rfam family "Bacterial small subunit ribosomal RNA", at positions 28 to 507 of the family's 1533-position model. The record is from RNAcentral.